AGGCCAUGCGAAGCGAACGCGGUGAACUGAAACAUCUAAGUAACCGCAGGAAAAGAAAUCAACCGAGAUUCCCAAAGUAGUGGCGAGCGAAAUGGGAUGAGCCUUGCACUCUUUAUUUGUAUUGUUAGCCGAACGCUCUGGAAAGUGCGGCCAUAGCAGGUGAUAGCCCUGUAGGCGAAAACAGUAUGAAAGAACUAGGUGUGCGACAAGUAGGGCGGGACACGUGAAAUCCUGUCUGAAGAUGGGGGGACCAUCCUCCAAGGCUAAAUACUCGUGAUCGACCGAUAGUGAACCAGUACCGUGAGGGAAAGGCGAAAAGAACCCCGGGAGGGGAGUGAAAUAGAUCCUGAAACCGCAUGCAUACAAACAGUCGGAGCCUCGUAAGGGGUGACGGCGUACCUUUUGUAUAAUGGGUCAGCGACUUACGUUCAGUAGCAAGCUUAACCGUAUAGGGCAGGCGUAGCGAAAGCGAGUCCGAAUAGGGCGUUCAGUUGCUGGGCGUAGACCCGAAACCAGGUGAUCUAUCCAUGGCCAGGAUGAAGGUGCGGUAACACGUACUGGAGGUCCGAACCCACUAACGUUGAAAAGUUAGGGGAUGAGCUGUGGAUAGGGGUGAAAGGCUAAACAAACCUGGAAAUAGCUGGUUCUCUCCGAAAACUAUUUAGGUAGUGCCUCGUGUCUCACCUUCGGGGGUAGAGCACUGUCAUGGUUGGGGGGUCUAUUGCAGAUUACCCCGCCAUAGCAAACUCCGAAUACCGAAGAGUGCAAUCACGGGAGACAGACAUCGGGUGCUAACGUCCGGUGUCAAGAGGGAAACAACCCAGACCGCCAGCUAAGGUC
This 840-nucleotide ribosomal RNA is filed under the name Burkholderia cenocepacia. RNAcentral describes it as "bacterial LSU rRNA". It matches the Rfam family "Bacterial large subunit ribosomal RNA", at positions 167 to 1046 of the family's 2925-position model. Lineage: Bacteria; Pseudomonadati; Pseudomonadota; Betaproteobacteria; Burkholderiales; Burkholderiaceae. The record is from RNAcentral.